Molecule: long non-coding RNA, 557 nt
Organism: Girardinichthys multiradiatus
Lineage: Eukaryota; Metazoa; Chordata; Actinopteri; Cyprinodontiformes; Goodeidae
Exons: 3
Source: RefSeq, a predicted model, not a curated record
CAAAGACAGGAAAAGUACAGAGUCAAGUGGAGACCAGCGAUUAAGAUAGUGGGGACAGAGGAUAAAUGACAAGAAGAAAAGAAGGAUUGUGGGACAGUUUAAGUAAAAGGACACAGGACCCAUUCAGGAAGCAGGACAGCUAGUGUGAGUCAGUAUAUGGGUGUUUUUUUUUGUUGCUUUAACCAUGUGAUUGAGUGGGAGACAAGUUAAAGUGCAACAGCUGAACCUCGGGAAUCAAGGGGACAAAGUCGAUGACAGAUGGAUACGCCAUCGGAGACAUGGAUGAGAGAAGGAGAGGGAUAAUGUCUUCUUUUGUUUUAAGGUUCGGCACAUCCCUCCAACCGAGAGAGAGACAAAAGGAUAUUUCGAACCUCAAGUUGGUUCCCAGGACCCUAACAGCUCAUCUAACCCGCAUCAUCCUUCAUGAUGUGGGUUUUUCUUGUUAUAUUGUAGUGUUUCUGGCUAACUUUUACACUGAAAUCAAUAUUAGGUAUUAGAACUCAAAAUUAUGCUGUAAAUCAAUAGGAGAGACAAAUAUACGUUUGAUAAAAGUUAAA